Molecule: non-coding RNA, 77 nt
Organism: Podarcis lilfordi (Lilford's wall lizard)
Lineage: Eukaryota; Metazoa; Chordata; Lepidosauria; Squamata; Lacertidae
Source: the annotation of a GenBank genome assembly
UCCUAUGUGGAUAGCUCAGUUAGUUAGAAUGCGGUGCUGAUGACACAAAGGUUGCAGGUUCGAUCCCUGUAUGGGAG